This 834-nucleotide long non-coding RNA is filed under the name Struthio camelus australis. RNAcentral describes it as "lncRNA (ENSSCUG00000000953.1)". Lineage: Eukaryota; Metazoa; Chordata; Aves; Struthioniformes; Struthionidae. The record is from RNAcentral.
CUGCAAUAUCACAAUCAUUUUCACAGCAACUAAUUCUCAUUCUGCAAGAAGCAGGUUUUUUGACAGGAGGUAAAAGGAAUAAGCAGAAGAAGCUGAGCAGGUCUUAAGGUACAAAGAUCUUAUUUUCAUGAAUCAGCUCCUUGUAACAGGAAGAUGGGAGGACGGAAGUGUUGCGGUAUUAAGAGAUAGAGCAGAAUUGUCUCCUGUAUAGGUGAUUUUUUUUUUUUUGGCUACGAUUCAUGCUAUCUACCUUCAGCUGCUUUAUCUUUUUUCUUCCUUUGAGAUGCUCCAAAGUCCUUCAAUCCAGCUGUUGCUCUGUUGCAGGAAUUGGGCUCUAGGACUUAACACUAUGGCUUAUGGAGAUGCUUCUUGUGUCUGGAGGAGAGCCACUUCCAAGCGAUGCACCCGAGACAUGACAAUCAGCAGCCAAAAUUGAAAUUCUAAGAGAAUGAACUUCUCCAUCGAGCUCAGUGGGGUUGUACCUUACGGCCCGAUACAUCACCUCAUAAAGCUGCAAACUAUAUGGCAUCUCUGCUCUUGUGAUAUUUAAUUAAUAUAGUUGUGGCUACUCUGUUUUCAUACUACACUUCAAACGAUCAGUGUAUCAGUGAUGCCUACUGUAGUGCAACAGCUCAUGGUAGUGUGGAGUUUGCCUAUAUUUCAAGCAUUUUUUUAUAAACUUCACUUCAUCCUUUAAAAUAAGCCAUAUAAAAUAUUUUUAAAAUAAGACUCCUCUUGCGCUUCCCUUGUAACAUCUAUUAGUAGUCAUUGGUGGAGACAGGAAAUGGGAAAUGCCGCUGUGAAGCGGACUGGUAAUCCAGGUACUUCAGUGUG